UACAGAGGGUGCGAGCGUUGUUCGGAAUUACUGGGCGUAAAGUGUGCGCAGGCGGCUUCGCAAGUCGAGUGUGAAAUCCCCGAGCUUAACUUGGGAAUUGCGCUCGAAACUACGGAGCUGGAGUGUGGCAGAGGAAGGUGGAAUUCCACGUGUAGCGGUGAAAUGCGUAGAGAUGUGGAGGAACACCGAUGGCGAAGGCAGCCUUCUGGGCCAACACUGACGCUCAUGCACGAAAGCGUGGGGAGCAAACAGG
Molecule: ribosomal RNA, 253 nt
Filed under: uncultured bacterium
Lineage: Bacteria
Description: partial 16S ribosomal RNA
Rfam family: Bacterial small subunit ribosomal RNA
Source: RNAcentral